Molecule: ribosomal RNA, 490 nt
Filed under: uncultured bacterium
Lineage: Bacteria
Description: partial 16S ribosomal RNA
Rfam family: Bacterial small subunit ribosomal RNA
Source: RNAcentral
GAUGAACGCUAGCUACAGGCUUAACACAUGCAAGUCGCGGGGCAGCAUGGGGGUUGCUUGCAAUCCCCGAUGGCGACCGGCGCACGGGUGAGUAACGCGUAUCCAACCUGCCCUUCACCACGGGAUAACCCGGCGAAAGUCGGACUAAUACCGUAUGUUGUCCAUUGACGGCAUCCAAUUUGGACGAAAGGUUUGGCGGUGAAGGAUGGGGAUGCGUCCGAUUAGCUGGACGGCGGGGUGACGGCCCACCGUGGCGACAAUCGGUAGGGGUUCUGAGAGGAAGGUCCCCCACACUGGAACUGAGACACGGUCCAGAAGCCUACGGGAGGCAGCAGUGAGGAAUAUUGGUCAAUGGGCGUAAGCCUGAACCAGCCAAGUAGCGUGCAGGAUGACGGCCCUAUGGGUUGUAAACUGCUUUUAUGCGGGGAUAAAGUGGCCCACGUGUGGGUUUUUGCAGGUACCGCAUGAAUAAGGACCGGCUAAUUCCGUG